RNAcentral lists this ribosomal RNA (427 nucleotides) under uncultured prokaryote. RNAcentral describes it as "bacterial SSU rRNA". It matches the Rfam family "Bacterial small subunit ribosomal RNA", at positions 355 to 774 of the family's 1533-position model. The record is from RNAcentral.
CUAAGAAUCUUCCGCAAUGGGGGCAACCCUGACGGAGCGACGCCGCGUGAACGAGGAAGGCCGAAAGGUUGUAAAGUUCUUUUCUUGGGGAAGAAUAAAGGGAAGAGAGAAUGCUUCUCUGAUGACGGUAACCGAGGAAAAAGCCCCGGCCAAUUACGUGCCAGCAGCCGCGGUAACACGUAAGGGGCGAGCGUUGUUCGGAAUUAUUGGGCGUAAAGGGCUUGUAGGCGGUUUGGUAAGACUGGUGUAAAAGGCGUACGCUUAACGUGCGUAGGGCGCUGGGGACUGUCAGACUAGAGUGUAGGAAGGGGAGGUGGAAUUCCAGGUGUAGGGGUGAAAUCUGUAGAUAUCUGGAAGAACACCGAUGGCGAAGGCAAGCUUCUAGCAAUACACUGACGCUGAGGCGCGAAAGCGUGGGGAGCGAACA